RNAcentral lists this ribosomal RNA (516 nucleotides) under Bifidobacterium pseudocatenulatum. RNAcentral's name for it is "bacterial SSU rRNA". It matches the Rfam family "Bacterial small subunit ribosomal RNA", at positions 161 to 689 of the family's 1533-position model. The record is from RNAcentral. Lineage: Bacteria; Bacillati; Actinomycetota; Actinomycetes; Bifidobacteriales; Bifidobacteriaceae.
UGGUAAUGCCGGAUGCUCCGACUCCUCGCAUGGGGUGUCGGGAAAGAUUUCAUCGGUAUGGGAUGGGGUCGCGUCCUAUCAGGUAGUCGGCGGGGUAACGGCCCACCGAGCCUACGACGGGUAGCCGGCCUGAGAGGGCGACCGGCCACAUUGGGACUGAGAUACGGCCCAGACUCCUACGGGAGGCAGCAGUGGGGAAUAUUGCACAAUGGGCGCAAGCCUGAUGCAGCGACGCCGCGUGCGGGAUGACGGCCUUCGGGUUGUAAACCGCUUUUGAUCGGGAGCAAGCCUUCGGGUGAGUGUACCUUUCGAAUAAGCACCGGCUAACUACGUGCCAGCAGCCGCGGUAAUACGUAGGGUGCAAGCGUUAUCCGGAAUUAUUGGGCGUAAAGGGCUCGUAGGCGGUUCGUCGCGUCCGGUGUGAAAGUCCAUCGCUUAACGGUGGAUCUGCGCCGGGUACGGGCGGGCUGGAGUGCGGUAGGGGAGACUGGAAUUCCCGGUGUAACGGUGGAAUGU